This 439-nucleotide ribosomal RNA is filed under the name uncultured bacterium. Its description in RNAcentral is "bacterial SSU rRNA". It matches the Rfam family "Bacterial small subunit ribosomal RNA", at positions 338 to 795 of the family's 1533-position model. The record is from RNAcentral.
CCUACGGGUGGCAGCAGUGGGGAAUAUUGCGCAAUGGGCGAAAGCCUGACGCAGCGACGCCGCGUGAGUGAAGAAGUCUUUCGGGAUGUAAAACUCUGUCGAGUGGGACGAUAAUGACGGUACCACUGGAGGAAGCCCCGGCUAACUACGUGCCAGCAGCCGCGGUAAUACGUAGGGGGCGAGCGUUAUCCGGAUUUAUUGGGCAUAAAGAGCGUGUAGGUGGCUCCUUAAGUCAGAUGUUAAAUCCCCCGGCUCAACCGGGGUCCGCAUUUGAUACUGGGGAGCUAGAGAUUGGGAGAGGAAAGCGGAACUCACGGUGUAGCGGUGAAAUGCGUAGAUAUCGUGAGGAACACCAGUUGCGAAGGCGGCUUUCUGGACCAAAUCUGACACUCAAGCGCGAAAGCGUGGGGAGCAAACGGGAUUAGAUACCCUUGUAGUC